RNAcentral lists this ribosomal RNA (253 nucleotides) under uncultured bacterium. RNAcentral's name for it is "partial 16S ribosomal RNA". It matches the Rfam family "Bacterial small subunit ribosomal RNA", at positions 524 to 776 of the family's 1533-position model. The record is from RNAcentral.
UACAGAGGGUGCAAGCGUUGUUCGGAAUUACUGGGCGUAAAGCGUGCGUAGUCGGUAUUGAGAGUCGCGGGUGAAAUCCCAGGGCUUAACCCUGGAACUGCCUGCGAGACCUCAGUACUAGAGUGUGAGAGGGGAUAGUGGAAUACCCAGUGUAGCGGUGAAAUGCGUAGAGAUUGGGUAGAACACCGGUGGCGAAGGCGGCUAUCUGGCUCACAACCGACGAUCAGGCACGAAAGCGUGGGGAGCAAACAGG